This 3874-nucleotide long non-coding RNA is filed under the name Capsicum annuum. Its description in RNAcentral is "long non-coding RNA (CANN_LNC003660)". Lineage: Eukaryota; Viridiplantae; Streptophyta; Magnoliopsida; Solanales; Solanaceae. The record is from RNAcentral.
UCAACAAGACACAAAAAUAGUCCACUACAAACAAUAACAAGAUUACAAGAAUAAAAGGAUAGAUAGUGAGAUAUAGAUUUGUUACAAAACUUAGGAAUAAAGUUUGAUUCAAACACUAAACCCCUAAUUAAUGUAACAACAACACCACACUCUUAUGGUGAUCGCCAAGGGAAUCAGUCACCUCAAGAUCCACCGUUUCCAAGAAAAGAAUAAUAUUGGUUUUUCCAAGCUCUAUACUAAAGAUGACUUUUCCAAGCCCUAACUAAGAACUAUGCUGAGGUAUUGCACUCUCCAAAGAGAGAAUAAGUCUUUCAAAUGUUCAUCAUUCAUUAACUAAAGAGAAAAUGACCUAAAAUAGAUUAUAUAUAGUAUAUUACAAAAGAAAGAUAAAAUGACUCCAAUGCCCUUAAUGAGGUGGGUGGCAAUGGAGUGUCAUUUAGACAAGGCUAAAAGACCUAAAUGACCUUGAGGCUAAGUGACCAAAAUGACCUUAAUAAAAGAGGCCAAAACCGUGAACCAUCAAAUGUGGUCCAAACCCAUGAGUCCUCUAGUCUUCAAGGCUCCAAGCAAUCCUCCACACACGGGUUUGUUUGAUGGCAUGCUCAAAAUAACCCCUACAAGUAUGAUCCAGUGCCCUCCAUGGGACCAAAGCUUGAUUCUUCACGUAGUGACUUUGAAUGAUGCCAUCGAAAGCUAAGGAGGCCAUUUCACUUGUAUCACAAACCAUCGCAGUCUUCCUUCCCGCAAGUUGUCUUCCACUGAAGCCACUCCCACCUUCUCCCGAAUAGUCUCAAACACUGUGAAAGAAUAUUUAUCAUAUUAUUUGUUGGGGUGAGUGUGGUGCAUAUUUAGACAAGUUUAUAUCUGCGGAAGCUGCUUCUAAGUUCUAACUGCUUGUAAAUAUUGGACUCUACAAUAUGUAAAGCUUCAAGGCACUUGACCAUGAUACUUUUAACUUCACGCAGACCAAGAAAGAAUUGUUGAAGGUGAGACCUGUUUUGUAAAUAAAAUUCCCAAUAUGAUCUUGGGGCUUGAAGCAAAUUAUAAAAACCAAAGAACUACUUGAAUAAGAAUUUUUCUUGUACCCUGUAUUUUGGUUAUAAAAAAAAAUAAAAAAAAAUAAAAAAAAAUAAAAAAAAUUGUACCUGUAUAAACUUAUCAGUUCUGCAUGACACUUUGUGCAUCUAUAUUGAAGCAGCAGCGGAUUCCUCAAAAGAAAUAGUAAAGAUAGGUGGAAGUACAGUACUUUUUUCCUUGUAUAUUGGACCGUGUAGGCUAGAAGAUCCACAAAAGUUACUGAUAUAACAGUAAUCGCAUCAAAACAUAGUCUUGCGAGCAGUUAAUUGGAGGAGGGUUGGUUUUAGUUCUUCUAGCUGUUUUCCCCUUUUAAAUCUCUUCACUCCAGCCCUUAAGUACUCUGGACCCUCCGUUAAAUUCCCGUCUUUUUUUGAUCUAAGAAAUGGAAGAAACUUAAGUGGUGCUAGCAGUUCCAAAUUUAAUUAUAAACUAUAAGCUGGUCACUUUUUCUUAUAUUCUGUAUCUUGAACAGGUUCUUACGAUUAUUAUCGGAAUAUGAUUGGGCCUUCUCUCCUUUAAUCGUUGAUUUUGAUGGCGAAUUUUCAACCGAGGAGAAAAAUAAAAUUAACGUAAGUACCAAGUCAAAUAAUCAAUCUUUGGAGGGCGUUCCAUGCUCUUUUCUUGUUUCUCCAUGUAGUAGUUUUAUAAAUCUAAAUACUAUUUCCGUAUGAUAUUGACAGGAGAAUUUCAUGAGAAGUAGAGAAGAGCAUGAAAAGGACACACAAAAGUUAAGUCCUGCAAUGUUCUUAGCUACCAAGUAUGACAUCGCAUCUGAAGCAUGGACAAGAUCCUGACCAACUACAGCAGUAAGUGUUCCUCAAUUAUCAAACACUUUUAUUAAUUCUUCGUCUGAAUUUCAUGGAAUCUUGUUCACCGAAACAGAAACAUGUGAAGAAGCAUUUUGUUUUGCAUCCUAAUAUUGAUAUAUUGCACCCAAAUAGUUUGUGGUCAACUUAAGACAAUUGAUCCUAGAAUGUAUGACCAAGGUUUCUACUGUGGAGAAGCGGCCUCUGGAGGGGCUCAUGGAAAUCUUAGUUUCCAUCUGCAACCCAUUUUUCUUCGCUGCCUCACUACCAUAAACAUGCUCACCACAAAAGUAAUUCUUAAUUACUAUAUGCAAACAACAUGAUUUGUCAAUAUUGUUUGUGAAUUGUGAUAGCGUCAUUUAGGAAAAAGGAGAAGUAUACGAUUGUAACUUACCACAAAAAAAAGUAUUUCAUAUGAUUGUAACCAUGAUGUGUACUGUUCUUUAUUUGGACCAGUGAGGUCGGAACUAAAGCUUCACCUCUCAAACUGAACGUUAGCUUUAUUGAAUAGGAAACUUAUCAAACAUAUAUACUACUGAAAAUUACACCAGAUCUAUGUUUCCACUUCUCGUGCAGCUUUUUCUCUUUUAUACUACUAGAUAAUGAUAAGUAACUAGAAGUAAAUCUUUUUAAAAAAAUAUUUUUUUUUCUGGUAAACCCCUUCAUCAGACCCUUUACUGAGGAGCUCAAUGUUGAUCCUAUUUGUGCUCAUCUCCCUUGGUGGCUCGAUCCGUCAACCUUAUGGUUGGAGGUGGAGGGUCCUUACCUUUAGGUUAUCCCUCUCUCAUCUUGAAAUUUUCAUAAGUCAAUCAUGGAUGAUUAGCUUGGGACACAGGACUACUUAGAUGAUAAAUAUUGGUAUUGUUAUGGAUAGUGAGGUAUCACAAUAUCAAGCAAUCAAACAAUAAAAUAAAGCAUUUAAGCCUUCUAUGGAACCAGGACAACGCCUUUAGUUUAACACAAUCUGAGCAUGUAGAUGUGGCACCCUGACUAGUUUUUAGGAAAUAUUGUCGUUCAGUGGCCUUGAGAACAACUUCUCUCAUGAUUGUUGUGUGUGUUAAUAAGUUUUCAUGAUUGCUAUGGCUUUUCCUCUGGCAUUAAUGUGGGUACUGUUGUGUACUAGGAGCUAAGAAGACUGGUGGCUUAUUCAACUAGCAGUGCAAAUUUGUUGACCAAACUGAUUUUGCAAGAUGGAUAUGAUUCUUAUGGAUGGAAAGUAUGUUAAAACAUCAAUUUUUCCCGUACCUGUGAAUUUGUUUGCUAUAAUAUGUCAAUCAUAGUGCCGUUGAUUUUUAUCCUGCAGUGUCUUCUCCGGACGCCUCUGAGCAACUAUGAUGUUGUUGCUCUUCUCCACAGGGAUAAAUUGCCCUACCCCCAGCAUCUUCUCUUUCCAUCCGAACUUGAACAAGGUUCUUUUUCUCAUUUGUUUCUACAUGAUAUCCACCUAUAUUUUCUUCCCCUCCUUUUCAUCCAUUUAGCAUCGGAACUCUGUACUAAUUAGUCUUAAACACUUCCAAUAUUUUUCUAGAGCGAUGUGCAGUGCGUGGGCAUGCAACCAAGAUUUUCCAUCCUUUCUUUUCUCCUGGAGACUUCAAAGUGAACUCUGGGGAAUUGAAAAGUAAGCUGAUGGUGAAUUUUGAUCCAGUAAGGUGCUUUAUUGCCGACAUCGAGGCAAGUACUUACAUUUGCUGGCAUUUUUUCCUUCUGAGGUGCAAAUCAGUUAUUCAAUCCCUAGAACCCUUUGUUCCCAUGAUGCUGAAGACUUUCCCUUUUCUUCCUUCCCCUAUUUGAUGCAGAAAGGAUUUUCCGAUGAGGUGAAGGUAUGGUAUGAUGCUGUGGGUGGUGAUGCUCUUGGUCUUACGUUCGGAAAAGCAAGUUCAAAGGUAUGCUUUCUAGAUGUACUGAAGUAACAAAUGAUGUUUGGAAGGUUUAAUAACAAGAUACCUGCAUUCUGUUUUCCAGAAACGGAAGCCUGAUCGCUCCACUAUUUC